ACUACACUAAAGCCCCGCUUUUACCUGGCGAAUAUACCGUAAAUUUCAUUAAUAAUUUUGCUAUUAACACGACGCUUUUUUUGAAUAAAUUUGCAGCCAACUGCGAUAAAAAAUUGCGCCAUAUCCACAACUCUAUUGAACGUCUUGAAGCUUCAAUAAAUUUUCUAGAUGCCAAACUAAAACUUAUAAAGAAUGCCGAUGAAGCCUCUGAGUUAAAUGCUUCGGGACGAGAGCUCGAUGGGCCGAUACCUGCUGCCAAUUCUUCAAGCAAAGAUGGAUUUAAUAGUUCAUUGGAUACGGCUAAAUCUAAAGAUAAUGACCCUAGGUAUCGCACAUAUUUUGAAAUGCUUUCGUCUGGUGUAGCGCUACCUCAAGUUCAACUACAAAUGUUGAUAGACGGAUUAGAUCCAUCUGCUUUAGAAAAUUCUGGCACCACCAAUUUUUUCGGCAAAGACUGAAUAAGAGACUCCAUAAAAAAAUCGGAUUUAUAUUAGUUUGUAAUUUGCCCUAUACUCUCUCAAAGGAAAUGAGUAUUUUGAAAUUACUUUCUGAUAGCUGAUUUUUUCUCGAAAACGUGACUAUAUUCUAUGUACACUGGAAAGACUCCCAAUAAUCCUUAAAAUUUAUAUCCUAUCAGCGAUUAUUGAAUAUCGACUCUGAUGUUGAAGCAUUUUUUGAUUGCGUAUAUACAUAAGCGUUAUAAAAUA
Schistocerca gregaria is the source of this 707-nucleotide long non-coding RNA. RefSeq lists it as uncharacterized. The record is from RefSeq and is a predicted model, not a curated record. NCBI's taxonomy places the organism in Eukaryota, Metazoa, Arthropoda, Insecta, Orthoptera, Acrididae. The transcript is spliced from 3 exons.